AAAAGGGGGCGGGGCAAGAGGAAGCAAAGAGGGCCAUAGAGGUCUCUGCACGUCCGAUGCCCAAUUGAAGCUGUGAGGAGAGCCACAAGGCGGGGAAACGUAGAGAGAUGGGGCUAAGAUAAGGUGUUGUUUUGUCGAAGGCUUUCAUGGCCGGGAUCACAGGGUUGUUGUAUGUUUUCCGGACUGUAUGGCCAUGUUCCAGAAGCAUUUUCUCCUGACGUUUCGCCCACAUCUAUGGCAGGCACCCUCAGAGGUCGUGAGCAGGACAUACAGUGGAUCCAAGACUCUGCUUCUGGAAGACAAUUAUACUCAGCCAUAAGGGAUCACCGAUGAUGAUGAUGAUGAUGAUGAUGAUGAUAAUGAUGAGUGGGCCCAUAGUAUCUACUCAAGUUGGUUCCAGCACCCUCCAUGACCAGCAAAAUCUGUUGAUCAAGUUCAGUUAUAUACAAUAUCAUAGUAAAUGGUGAAUUCUCUAUAAAAUGGCCACAUCAAGACUUGCUUUGUGGAACUUUUGGCGAGGGAGGAGUGUUGAGCGUUAAUAUUUUCUACCUGUUGAUAGUUGAAUCUGUGGAUAUGUGACUGUGUUUCACUUUUAUAAUUGGCAAACAAAACUGAAUGUAGCUGAAUAUGUUACACUUAUGUGUUCAAGAAAGCACCAAAUUGCUGAAUAAGGAGCAGGAUCUGAUAAAAAUGCUAGCAUCCCUAUUGCCUAAUGCUGUUCUUUGCUUAAUGCUAGUAAAACAGGCAAUUUGAGUUCCUUCUACCUCUUUUAAUUUUUUUUAACACUGGUAAAGGCCUAUUAUUUUAACUUUAAAAGUGAGUAUGGCUGAAGUCACUCCUCAGACUGCUACAAAUUUCUGAUGUCUGCAUCUGACAUUAAAAAUAAUUUUAUGUUUGUAUUUUAUGCCUAGUACUAAUAUGGAUUUAUGACACAAAGCACACUAUUCCUUAGUAAAUUUGUUCAUUCAAAAAAAUUUGCUGCCAUUGGCUGUAAUUGACAAUAUUUAAAGCUAUAUUUAUUUAUGGUUUGAACAUUCCCCAUGGCUUUGCUACAAACAGCAAAUUUUAGAAUGCUAAGUGAUCCAUUAGUAUGACGUGCAUUGCUAUGGUAAUUCACCUUUAGAAGCCAAAUAUUCUUGAACUCCUAAAUUGCUAUGGCUUUUUUAGCCUAGAGUUAUCUUCCAUUAUGGAAAGCAUUUCCCUGGGAAAAUGAAAGUGCACAUUAAAGAUUAUUUUUCUGAUUUUCUGCAAAAUUGUUCCUAAUAGCUUUAUUGCCCGAGCAUGUGGAAUUGCUCUAAUUCUAGCAGCAUAAUGUACCUUAGACUACUGUGUUGCCUUUAAUAUUAAUAAAGGCAGACAUCUCAGUAUUGUUAUACACAGGACUGAUGUCUCCUAUUUUUCAGUUUUAAACACACAUAUUAAAGAAGAAGUCCAGUGGAGCCUAGUGGAAAUUAUAUACAGUGUAUACAAGCAGCAGAAUAAAAUAAUAAAGCAUAAUCUGGAUUGUACAGUUUUGAGUUCCUAUUGGAUCUUUGAGAGCUACUGUGGCAGAAAAAUUGAAGUCAGGGUAUGACUGAUAUGCAAUUUAAGUUCUUACUAUAUGAACACACCCAACUACUUAUGACUUCAUCACACACAGUAAACAUCAGUGUUUCUACACAUUUAAGAAACUGCAACCCCCAGUGCCCUUCACAUAACACAAGCUUCAACUGUGGGGAUGAGGUAUUUUGCCCUUUCUAAAGUGUUGGUUUUUCCAAUGAUUCCUAAGCCAGUUGGCAAUUGACUUAUUUUAAAAUUCCCUACAGAGAUUGCCAAAAUAGCCAAUUUCCCUCUGUGGUGUUAAUUCCUGUUGCCUGCUUUUGUUGCCCGACUAUAAAUAAAACGAUGACACUGUGUGUUCUGCCCCCACGCUAUCUAACUGCUUGGAAGGUGAACUGCUUGCACAGGGAACAAAUGGAGGACACUUAGACAAAAACAGUGUACAAGGAUUUAAUAACUGAUGUAAGUGUGAAUCCCUUCCUCUUCCUGGAUCUAAUUGGCGCAGUCCUCAGAAGAUAGAUAAAGUCCUUGAAAAAGAGGCUCUAAAUUAUUUAUCUUCUCUGAUGUUCUUCCUCAUGCUGGUGUCUGUCUGUCUCUGGAGUGAUUCAGAUAUUUGACUUGACUUUGUAAAAACUUUGACUUGUCUUCGACGUGACUCCGUCUGUGACAUGCUAUUUUGUAGAUUUUCCUAGCCUUCCUCUCUUCUCACUUUCCACUUGUAAAAUGGUUAAUUCUCCAAUGAACAGGAAGGGCUUGCCUGAGGCCCCACCCUUGUUGGGAGAAUUCGUAAAGGGGCAGGAAGGGGGUGGCUUAAAGAAAAAUGGGCUAUCUAGACUGAUUCCCCCACAAAACUAUACACAAAAUGCUAAUUCCCUCUAACUAAAAAGGGUCUUUAAAAAUAGAACCCCAUGAAACUCCACCCUUUCUCCCAUUUUCCUUCAUUUUCUCCAGCUCCUUGUGAUGAAAUCCUUUGAUUGAGGACUGAGGACAUGAUAGCCUCUGGCAUUAGCAAGCUCUUACGUUGGUGUCUUGGACUGAGCACAUAACAGAACAUCUAAGCUAGGUUGGCAGAAGCUGGAGCUGACAGAGGGAGCUCACUCUGCUCCCCGGAUUCAAACCACCGACCUUUCAGUCAGCAAAUUCAGUAGCUCAAUGGUUUAGCCCACUGCAUCACCAGGGGCUCUUAUUGUAUUUGUAGGAAUAUCAAAUCAGCUAUCAACAUUACUAUCUUGUAGUGAAUGGUGAGCCACAAUUUAGAACCUCACCCUGAGACAUUUAAACUACCAGGUAAAUGUCAUUAAGCAUAGUGUGGCCAUCGCUUUGCAUUCAAUUUCUCAGCUAUAGAGUGAGGAAUGUUCUCACAGACUUUCUUACGGUGCAUAGAAAUAAUACAGUUUGACACACUAAUUGCCAUGGUUCAGUGCUCUGGAAUAAUGGGAUUUGUAGGUUUGGUGAGGCACCAGCAUUAUUUGGCAUUAUUUGGCUAAAGACCUUGUAAAUCUGCAACUUCCAUAAUUCCAGAGCAUUGAACUCUGACAGUUAAAUAUAUGUCUAACUGCAUUAAUUCUACAAAGCUGGUGCAUCCCUGAGAAGAGAGGCCCUAGGUUCUUUCUACUGUGCAUUUAAAUAAUACAAAUACACCUGGCUUGAACUGCUCAAAGUUCAAAGAAAACUUAGUAUAGAGAGUUUUGGAUUAACACAUAACAUUUCUUAGCACAUAUUGUAUGAACAAUAAGUUAUUGUGACAAUCAUUCAGAAGUGAAUUCAGUACAAAGCUGUGGCAUGUACGAAAUGCACCAAAAUUAUGAUGAGUGCUGUCUGAACUAAUAUUUGAUAAUGACAUGACAUCUCUUGGAGGCAUAUCACUGAUCCAUUUUGCUCUGAUAUCUAGAAACAAGCUAGCAGUUAGGAGUCUGACUAGGAAGCUGGGGAAGGUGAUGUGCAGGGAGGAAUCCUGCACAUCAUAUAUCAUAUAUCACAUUUUACAAACAGAAAAAGGAAAAGAGAGAGAUGCAAUAUUAAAAAAAACAGCAUGGCUACUUAUCAUUCAGGUAUAAUUUUCCACUUCAAGUCUGCAUCAACACAGUGAGGUUUCAUUCUGGAGAAGCAUCCUAUUUAAAGCUGGUCGUCAAGUUCAUUUCACUGUGGUUGGAGCCUCGGGUUGGGACCUCAGGUUUUAUUCAGAAGAGAACAUUGAUGUAAAUACUGGAUUUAUUAAAAAUAUUUCUUGAACUCUUCCUAAUAGUUGUAGCAGUUCACAUUUGGGCCUCUAGUUUUGCUAAAAAGACUGGCAAAUUUUGUUGCAGAAAACUGUAAUGGUGCAAGCUUUGCAGACCAUAGAGUUUCUCUGGGUUAUGAAACUGAUUAGGUGUUUCAUCCUACAGUGCUUGAAGUACAAUGUACUGUUCCAAGCCUGACAUGUUUCAUGCAUCCAAAAUGCUAGCAAAUUUCAUCUCUUGUUUUGAGUUCCACAGGUUUUCCCAGUACUCUUCUGGUGUACCUUCACAUCUUUAGAACUUUGAUGUUGAUUGAGCCAACCUCAUUUUCUUAACCUCUUCACCUUGUAUAUCCUACCAAUAGUAUCUUUUUGUUGUCGAAGGCGUUCAUGGCCGGGAUCACAGGGUUGUUGUAUGUUUUCUGGGCUGUGUGGCCAAAGUUCCUAUUCAGUGACACAAGGUCUGUUUGGUAGAUAACUCGUAGUCACUCAGGUAAGGGAUCUACUGUCAGUACCUUUUGUGUGACGGGAAACAAUUGACCUCACAUGUCCUUUAUUUCUCAUCAUGCAUCAGAGGUGCAGGUUUUGGCAUGUGAUGCAGAUAGUCUGUAGCUCAACCUCUGUGCCAGUGAUUGCAUAGUCAUUGUCACACUUAACAGAUCAUGAGGUUUGCAUGGCCAGAAGUGGUUUAACAAAGCAGCAGACCUCUGGGACCCCACAUAUGAGUCUGUUGUGGCCUGGAAGGCUGGGCCUCUUUGUUUCCCAAUAGCUAAGGUAGUCCUCCCAUGCUUUCUUGUUGUCCUCCCAAUUGCGUGUUCAUCAUCUACUUAAGGCUGCCUUCAUUCUAGCACUCUCUCUAUGGAUAACUCCUCCCUACAUUGAAAUAUGGCACCUGAGACUGCUCCCUAUUAGUCUCUGACCUCCAUUGUCACCAGGGUGACUUGCAAAUUCAUUUUCAGCUAUUUUAGAAAGACUAGUUGUAUAGGGACAGACAGGCUUUGGGGAGUGCCCUCCCUGGCAAAUCCAGAUCAUGCUUUUUAUGCCUAUGGGUAUCAGGGAUCUUAUUCUUCUGUUCUUUCUUUCACCCAGCACCAGUUUGGAAAAUUCCUGAAGCCAGCCAUGUCAGUUACUGGGCUGCCUCACCAAUUUUCCACCCAUUCUUCUGUAUAGGCAAUGUUACUUCACCUGCAGAAUGUGGAUUGCUUAGCACUAGUAUUCAGAAGGUGAUGUGUUGGCGCUCCAGUGUUUUCAAGUUCUUGUGUGAGAACUAAGGCUGGCUAGCAGUUGGCUUCACGUUUUAAAUAAUUCACUCAUCUCUCCUUUUUUAAUUCUGUUUUUUAAAGCAGAUCUGCCAUAACAUCUAGAAUAGUGGGAUACAGAUUGGUUUCCUGGAUGGAGUGGCAUGUGGUGCAUCAUUCCAAGAUCCAGGUACAUUAAGUGGUAGGAAUGGAGUUGGGUGCUCUUCUUCCCUGACUCCUAGAUGGAUGAUAAUGAUGUGAGACAGGAUUUAGGUCACAGCUAGGUGAGAAUGACCUAGUCAGACUUCAACUGAUCAGCAUGGUAACAGAGGAUUCUCAUAACAUCUGAUGUCCAUCUUCUGGGUAUAACAUCCUAUGGACUAAGAUGCUACCCAAUUGGGUGUAACAGGGGGCACAUAUUAACUUAGCCAUUAAUGCCAUACUAACUAUGAUAACAUCCACAUCAACUGACUAGACAGUGCUCCCAUCUCCCAUUCAAGCAUAUAUGUGAACUUGCCAUAACUUACAUGUAAUGUUUUUCAAUAGAAGCAAAAAUGUCUACCCAGGAAGUAGCAUUUCCUGUGCAGAAAAUAAUAUUUAUACACAAAAAUAUUGCUUUCUGUGCAACAAAUUCUGUUUUCUGUAAAACCACAUUUUAAAACUAUAUGUUUUUAAAAAUUGGAAUAUUCCUAUUUUUAGUGACCAGCUUACUGUGGAGGUAAUGUUGGUGGGCAGGAAAAAAGAUUUAAAGAUGGGCUUAAAGCCAACCUUAAAAACUGUGGCAUAGACACUGACAACUGGGAAGCCCUGGCCCUUGAGCGCUCCAGUUGGAGGUCAGCUGUGACCAGCAGUGCUGCGGAGUACAAAGAGGCACGAAUGGAGGGCUUAAGGGAGAAAUGUGCCAAGAGGAAGGCCCGUCAAGCCAACCCUGAUCGGCUUGAUCACGGAAACCGAUGUCCUCACUGCGGGAGAACAUGCAGAUCAAGAAUAGGUCUCUUCAGCCACCUAAGAACCCAUCCUCAAGACACCAGAGAUGGAAGACAAUCCUCCUCAAGCUACGAGGGAUAGCCUAAGUAAGUAAGUGUGGUGGUGGGUCAUUUUAGAAAGAAAGAAAAAGCGUGAUGCCGAACCAGUGGCCAAAAUUUCACUCCAACAUUGAACAGUCAAAAUUUUCUUCACAUUUUCUUUUACUUUUGCACUGAAAUUAGAAAACAGGGCUAUUCCAGGUGCCAGGUUUUUCCCAAGAGUUGCCAGUUUCUAAUCCCUCUACUGGAAGGUAGAAAGUUCACAGCCUGUUUUUAACUGUGAAGGAUGUAGAAAGCUUUUGCUAAAAAAAUAUUAUUUCCCUCUUUCUGAAAAUCUGCAACCUUGGCAACAAGGGAGGAUUAUUAGUACAGAAAGCAACAAUGUGAUUAGACAGUUCAUUAGUAGGAAGGUGGAGAAUACUAAUGGCAAGAUUUUCAUCUACAGUGUCAAGCGCUGACCUGGCAUCCAUUUCUGACAGCAAAAUCACUUCCCGGUGGUAUUAACCACACGCUACGAAAUAAAAAACCAUGUUCUUUUUACAAGAGCUCAUCAAAGGAAUCUGGAACCAGCACUUCGGAGAUUCCAAGAUCCCACUGUACUCUCUGCAGAUUGCCAGCCAGAGAAAUUGUGGUAGUUUAUGUACUAAAAGUAAGGAUCUCUAUUAGGCUUCAAUCUACAUUGAUGUGAGUAUUUGAGAGCUUAUGCUAAUUAUAAUUGAUUAAUUACUAAGAUGCCACAAGUCUCCUUGUUUUUGUAGCAAAAUAUUAACAUGGCCAUUCUUCAGGAAAGAAACACCAACCUUUUAAUAGAAUGUAUCUCUCUUUACAGCUCCUACAUACAUUAUAUUCCCUCUGUGCAGCUUUUGCUCAUAUUACAUCUUCAUCUUUUAUUCCUUGUCCUAUAUACAUAUAUAUACAUACAUACACACACAUACAUACUAGCUGUACCCAGGCAUGCAUUGCUAUGGCCCAGUCUGGUGAAAUUGAAAAGAAAUAAAAGAAAUUAUAUCUGAUUUCACAAUGCUUAUGGGUAUACAAUUUUAAAAUCAAUUUUAUUAGGCAUAAAAUAAUAGAAAAGAAGAAAAAAGACACAAAGAUAAUAAAAAUAAUAAUAUAUACAAUUUUGGGUAUACAAUUUUUGUUGGCUCAUUUAUAUAGCUAUUAGUCUAUGUCAUAAUAAUAAUAACCCUGGUCUAAAUAACAACAACAACAACAAUAAUGGUGGUAAUAAUAAACAUACUGCCCUGUAUUAAAAGAUAAAGAUUUCCUCUGAUGUUAAGUCCAGUCGUGUCCGACUCUGGGGGUUGGUGCUCAUCUCCAUUUCUAAGCCGAAGAGCCGGCAUUGUCCGUAGACACCUCCAAUGUCAUGUGGCCGGCAUGACUGCAUGGAAUGCCGUUACCUUCCCGCCGGAGUGGUACCUAUUGAUUUACUCACAUUUGCAUGUUUUCGAACUGCUAGGUUGGCAGAAGCUGGAGCCAACAGCGGGCGCUCACUCUGUUCCUCGGGUAUGAACCUGGGACCUUUCGGUGUGCAAGUUCAGCAGCUCAGCACUUUAACACAUUGAGCCACCGGAGGCUCCAUGCCCUGUAUUAUAACACUAAUAAUAACAAGAAUUUAUAUUAUAAUAUUAAUACUGGUGUAUAUAAUAAUUACAGUAAUGACAAUGUUACUGGUCUAUAUAAUAAUAUCUAUCUCUCCCUUCUUACCAUUCAAUCCUUUCUUCCAUCUGAGCCUUCAGUCUUUUUGGAGGCACGGGCAUGAGGCGGUGCUGGGCACCGCCAGGCAUAACAUAAUGCUAUGUGAGCUCGGGGUUUGGGCUGGGCCUACCUCCAUGCCUGCCUCCUUCACUCCCUCCCCUGGGGCCAAGCCUGCCCUCUCCUCGGCCUGGAUUUCCCGAUUUGUUCCGCCACCCUUUUCCUGGUUCUAUUCUGGAGGUAGGCAGGAGGUGCGGGUAUGAGGCGGUACCAGGCAAGGCCGAGCAGUGCAUGAGGCUAUGGGAACCUGGGGCUUGGGCUGCGCCUCCCUCCCCCCGGGCUCAUGCCCCACCUCUCUCUCCAGCCUGGAUUUCUCUACCUGCUCCGCCACCCUUUUCCUGCUUGUCUUCUCCCAGUUCUGCUCCAGAGGGAGGCAGGAAGGCAGACUCAGUGGAGGGUGACCAGGCCACAGAACCGUAAUGGUGACUCCAGCACUGGCAAGAUGGUGGUGGCACUGGGGGCUUCUUCUCUUGGAAGAGAGGAGGCCAGCAAGACAGGUAUCUUGGUCCUGGAGGUGGGGCCAGGGUGGAGGGAACUGGGGAUGGAGGCCACGAGGAGGAGAGCCAAGUGCAGAGCACGGGAGAUUGAAUUUUUAGAACCUUAACAGUCAUAUAUAGUAUAGUGUGUGUUGCUUGAACGUCAAGCAGAUGGCAAUGUUUUUGAAGCUAAGCAUGUUUUUACCUGUCUCAGAUGUGUCAUCUGUUUAAUAGUAGAUGUGUGAAUACAUAAAAACACUCACCAGUUAGAUUGCUGUGUUGUGUCAAAAUUUCGUAGUAAUCAUUGAAGUAGUUUGGGAAAUAUGAUGUUAUGAACAAAUGUACAUUUACAUUUUUAUUUAUAUAGAUGUAUAUAUAUCAAAAUGUGUUAAAACAUUAUUUCUGCCAGACACAGCCACAGGGUCAUCACCUCCCUGUUGACCACACAAAGAAAUUUCCUAGACUUUUGGGUUGGGCUAAUCCGUUGAAUAAAGAUGACCAUCAAAGACCCAUUAUGUGUGUAGCACAGCAGGAGGUUUCUGUUCUCAAUCUGAUAUCAUCAAACUGAUCCUUAUCCACUGAUUCCCCUCAAUUGAGUUGAGGGGUGGCUGACUAUGGAAACAGAAGGCUAAAGGAUGUGCACACACUGGACUUCUUUCUUUUCACCCAAGACUUGAUUACAGAAGAUCACCACAUUUUGUUCUGAAUGCCCACACAUUUGCUUUUCCCAUGGGAUUUCCUCAUCAUCAGAGGCUCACAAUAUACAUCCUAAUCUGGACCCUUUUUUCUGCAUCCCAGGCACUUGAUCACCCAAAACUGGAUUAUAUACUACCUGGAAAGUUCUCUAAGCUCUCUGAAAUAUGAUCAUGGACUUCCUGGGCCUGCCUCCUUCCAGGAGAGCCAGCAUUGAUUGGUCCUUUUUGGGGGCAUGUCCUCCUUCAUCUCCUCCCCUCCACCACAAAAACGCUGCCUGGUGGCGAAAGCAUCACCACAGUGCCGACCAAUCGAGGUGACGCUUCGGGCCAGCUCCUCUGCUGGCCAAUCAGAAAAGGGAGCGGACCAAGGGAGAAAACUUGAAUAACUGUUAAAUGUAUGAAAAUACAUGUUGGUACAGUGUCUGUUAAUGCUAGCAUUUUUGGUGCUACUCUUACAUGCAUCCUUUCUGGCCAGAUUGUAAUUAAAGCCUCUAUUGCCUA
This is a long non-coding RNA of Anolis carolinensis (green anole), 9444 nucleotides long. RefSeq lists it as uncharacterized. The record is from RefSeq and is a predicted model, not a curated record. NCBI's taxonomy places the organism in Eukaryota, Metazoa, Chordata, Lepidosauria, Squamata, Anolidae. The transcript has 3 exons.